UUAAGUUCAGCGGGUAUUCCUACCCGAUCCGAGGUCAACCUAAUCGAAUUUCGAUUGAAAUUCAUGGGUUCUAACGGCGUGGUCCGCUCCCAUCGCUAGCGAGAAGUGUGUCACAACGCUAAGACGGGCGACGGCCAGCCGGUGAAAUUGAGGCGCGGGGGAGUCCCGCCGCCCAAUACCAAGCCAGGCUUGAUUGGAUU
RNAcentral lists this unclassified non-coding RNA (200 nucleotides) under Capnodiales sp. RNAcentral's name for it is "partial internal transcribed spacer 2". Lineage: Eukaryota; Fungi; Ascomycota; Dothideomycetes; Capnodiales. The record is from RNAcentral.